AAUCUAUGGUGUGGGCAUUUCUAAAUUAGUGUCUUAAAACGCUCUCAUGCUUCGUGAAAACUUUUCCCCUCUAACUGUUUAAACAUGAAAAUUUCCCUUCUUAGUUG
Molecule: non-coding RNA, 107 nt
Organism: Gossypium raimondii (Peruvian cotton)
Lineage: Eukaryota; Viridiplantae; Streptophyta; Magnoliopsida; Malvales; Malvaceae
Source: Rfam